AAUAAUUUCCCCAUGGACAAGUAUAGGAAUCGUUUGCAAUACUCAAUCGUACUAGCGAUGCUUCUUCUCAUACUGUUUGCUACCCGUGCGCAAUGCAGAAUCUUGGAAGACGUCGAAAACGUUAAGAUCAAGUUAGAUGGUCUGUGCGCCCGCGAUCCAAACUGCAAAAACUCUUCGUUGUGUUUCUGUUGUUUUGCAAACCAUCUUUGUUAUCCUUCUUUGGAUGAUUGCAUGGUCGGCUGCCGAAAUGCUUCUCCGUUAGACCCGGCGGCAGCGAUGAUACGUUCUCCAUCACCCUCCUAUCUAAUCUAGUCAUAUGGCUUUUUAAGGAUGGUGCCAUAUGUGCUCAUGAAUAAUUUAGUGUAAUAAACAAUGUUGCUAUAUUUACUUUUCAAGAGUUGAGAAGUUAUAUAA
This is a long non-coding RNA of Aegilops tauschii subsp. strangulata, 414 nucleotides long. RefSeq lists it as uncharacterized. NCBI's taxonomy places the organism in Eukaryota, Viridiplantae, Streptophyta, Magnoliopsida, Poales, Poaceae. The record is from RefSeq and is a predicted model, not a curated record.